AAUUAGCCAGGGCAACUGGUGGGCAGCUAUAAUCCCAGCUACUUGGGAGAGUAAGGCUCGAGAGUUGCUUGAAUCAUGUAGGCAGAGAUUGUGGUGAGCUGAUAUCAUGCACUGCACUCCAGCUUGGGCAACAGAGAGAAAAAGAAUCUAAAAAGAAA
This is a long non-coding RNA of Sapajus apella (tufted capuchin), 158 nucleotides long. RefSeq lists it as uncharacterized. The transcript has 3 exons. Lineage: Eukaryota; Metazoa; Chordata; Mammalia; Primates; Cebidae. The record is from RefSeq and is a predicted model, not a curated record.